GAUCUGCUGUCGCCGCCGCUCUGCACGCUGCCGCCGGGCCCCGAGCCGCCCCGCUUCGUGUGCUACUGCGAAGGGGAGGGAAGCGGGGAGGGGGACCGCGGCGGCUUCAACCUCUAAAAGCCCGUUUUGGCCUGAGUGCGGCUGAGGACAUCACCCCCCGGUUCAGGUGAGACCCAAGCAGGGAGGAAGGGUGGGUGGGGAGGAGGAGGGUCUGCCACAGCUCUCAGCACCUCUCCUUUCCCAGGGCAGCCUGUGAGCAGCAAGCUGUGGCUCUGACCCUGCAUGAGGACAGAGCAUCCCUGACGCUUUCAGGGGGGCCCUCGGCACUGGCCUUUGACCUCUCCAAGGUACCAGGCCCAGAGGCAGCCCCCAGGCUGCAGGCGCUGACACUGGGCCUGGCAAAACGCGUGUGGAGCCUGGAGCGGCGACUGGCAGCUGCAGAAGAGACAGCUGCCAGCCCCAGGAAGAGCCCCCGGCCUGCAGGGCCUCAGCUCUUCUUACCAGACCCAGAUCCUCAGAGAGGUGGCCCUGGACCUGGAGUCAGGAGGCGGUGUCCGGGAGAGUCGCUCAUCAACCCCGGGUUCAAGAGUAAGAAACCAGCUGGUGGUGUGGACUUUGAUGAGACCUGAAGGCGCAGCACAAGUGUGGCCCCGCGGGGAGUCCGCCUGUGAGGCGAGAGGCAGUCUUCGAGGCCCCCAUCAGAGA
RNAcentral lists this small RNA (705 nucleotides) under Pongo abelii (Sumatran orangutan). RNAcentral's name for it is "retained intron". Lineage: Eukaryota; Metazoa; Chordata; Mammalia; Primates; Hominidae. The record is from RNAcentral.